CCUACGGGUGGCAGCAGUGGGGAAUAUUGCACAAUGGGGGAAACCCUGAUGCAGCGACGCCGCGUGAAGGAAGAAGUAUCUCGGUAUGUAAACUUCCAUUAGCAGGGAAGAAAAUGACGGUACCUGACUACGAAGCCCCGGCUAACUACGAGCCAGCAGCCGCGGGAAUACGUCGGGGGCAAGCGUUAUCCGGAUGUAAUGGGUGUUAAGGGCGCGUAGUGGGUUUAGCAAGUCAGUCGGGAAAGCACGGGGGUCAAAUCCGGGACUGCUUUUGAAACUGUUGGACUAGAUUGCAGGAGAGGUAAGUGGAAUUCGUGGUGUAGCGGUGAAAUGCGUAGAUAUUAGGCAGAACACCAGUGGCGAAGGCAGCUUACUGGAGUGUAAAUGACGCUGAGGCUCGAAAGCGUGGGGAGCGAACAGGAUUAGAUACCCCAGUAGUC
This 440-nucleotide ribosomal RNA is filed under the name uncultured bacterium. Its description in RNAcentral is "partial 16S ribosomal RNA". It matches the Rfam family "Bacterial small subunit ribosomal RNA", at positions 338 to 795 of the family's 1533-position model. The record is from RNAcentral.